Molecule: unclassified non-coding RNA, 243 nt
Filed under: Capnodiales sp.
Lineage: Eukaryota; Fungi; Ascomycota; Dothideomycetes; Capnodiales
Description: partial contains 5.8S ribosomal RNA, internal transcribed spacer 2, and large subunit ribosomal RNA
Source: RNAcentral
CGCACAUUGCGCCCUUUGGCAUUCCGAAGGGCAUGCCCGUUCGAGCGUCAUUUCACCAAUCAAGCCUGGCUUGGUGUUGGGCCCCGGGUGUGACCCGGACCCCAAUGUCCCGCCGGCCGGAUGACCCGGAUCCCAGCGUUAGGGCACAUUGCAGUUCCGCUGGUGGAGACGGGUCGGCCGCGCCGUCAAUAAUCACAACGAAAGGUUGACCUCGGAUCGGGUAGGGAUACCCGCUGAACUUAA